Molecule: ribosomal RNA, 253 nt
Filed under: uncultured bacterium
Lineage: Bacteria
Description: partial 16S ribosomal RNA
Rfam family: Bacterial small subunit ribosomal RNA
Source: RNAcentral
UACGAAGGGGGCUAGCGUUGCUCGGAAUUACUGGGCGUAAAGCGCACGUAGGCGGAUUGUUAAGUCGGGGGUGAAAUCCUGGAGCUCAACUCCAGAACUGCCUUCGAAACUGGCGAUCUUGAGUCCGGGAGAGGUGAGUGGAAUUCCGAGUGUAGAGGUGAAAUUCGUAGAUAUUCGGAGGAACACCAGUGGCGAAGGCGGCUCACUGGUCCGGUACUGACGCUGAGGUGCGAAAGCGUGGGGAGCAAACAGG